RNAcentral lists this ribosomal RNA (449 nucleotides) under uncultured bacterium. RNAcentral describes it as "bacterial SSU rRNA". It matches the Rfam family "Bacterial small subunit ribosomal RNA", at positions 355 to 796 of the family's 1533-position model. The record is from RNAcentral.
UCGAGGAUCAUUCGCAAUGGGCGAAAGCCUGACGAUGCGACGCCGUGUGAGCGAUGAAGGCCUUCGGGUUGUAAAGCUCUUUCGCUUGGGAACAAGAGAUCGUGGUGAAUAGCCAUGAGAUUUGAGGGUACCAGGUAAAGAAGCACCGGCUAACUCCGUGCCAGCAGCUGCGGUAAUACGGAGGGUGCAAGCAUUAAUCGGAUUUAUUGGGCGUAAAGGGCGCGUAGGCGGGUGCGUAAGUCGAGUGUGAAAUUCCAAAGCUCAACUUUGGGACUGCACUUGAAACUACGAAUCUAGAGGAAUGGCGGAGAAAAUGGAAUUCCACGUGUAGCGGUGAAAUGCGUAGAUAUGUGGAAGAACACCUGUGGCGAAAGCGGUUUUCUAGCUUUUACCUGACGCUGAGGCGCGAGAGCAAGGGGAGCAAACAGGAUUAGAUACCCCCGUAGUCC